Molecule: long non-coding RNA, 466 nt
Filed under: Anser brachyrhynchus (Pink-footed goose)
Lineage: Eukaryota; Metazoa; Chordata; Aves; Anseriformes; Anatidae
Description: lncRNA (ENSABRG00000018795.1)
Source: RNAcentral
CCAUUCCCUUAGAGAAGUCCAGAAACUUCUCUAGGUAGAAGUUGCAAGGACAUGUCCAACUGUCUUCUAUGGGCAGCAAUUAAGUAAAAAUUACCGGGGUACUGAGUGCUCCAGUGAAGCCUUAAUGCCCUGAUGAGCCUCACCUGGGCUGCCUCCCUACCUCUCUGCUCCAUUUCAGCUCAGUUCCUCACCCUCUUUUGUUCUUUGAGCCUGGGGCUACCUGUGGGCCUUCCCUUUGUGCCUCACCUGAAGGAUUCAAGUUCAGUAGUCAUGUGCUGGGACUCAAAUCCUAUCAUUCUUUCCUAUGUAAUAUUGCAAAUGUGGAGUUUGCAAGUGACUGCAGGCCCUCCUCAAAGGAUGAGAAAAGUAUUUCUUGUGCCAUGAGGAAAACUCGCUGUGGGGCGAAGUUGCUUUUACUGAAGUCUACUGAUUGACUGGCUAAAAUAAACUGCAGGCUUCAAAGUCA